This 76-nucleotide transfer RNA is filed under the name Phragmitibacter flavus. RNAcentral's name for it is "Verrucobacter flavum tRNA-Ala". It matches the Rfam family "tRNA". From Rfam's summary of the family: Transfer RNA (tRNA) molecules are approximately 80 nucleotides in length. Their secondary structure includes four short double-helical elements and three loops (D, anti-codon, and T loops). The record is from RNAcentral. Lineage: Bacteria; Pseudomonadati; Verrucomicrobiota; Verrucomicrobiia; Verrucomicrobiales; Verrucomicrobiaceae.
GGGGUCAUAGCUCAGUUGGUAGAGCGCGUCGUUCGCAAUGACGAGGUCAGGGGUUCGACUCCCCUUGGCUCCACCA